UGGUGCCCAAUGUGUAUGCCCAGGUACCAGGGCCUCAGAGAAGAACAUCACUGAUGAGAGCAGCCAUAUCAAAAAGGAAAGAAAUAGAGGUGGUUGCAAGAAGGGAGCCUGCCACAGAAAAAAAGACUUUGGUAAAUGAGUGAGGGUAUGGGACAAGAAAUGAGUCAAUAUGAAUUGUUUGUUGAAGGCCUCAAGAAGGCACCUAAGACAGAAGAGAUUAGGCUUAAAACACAGGAUUUGUUAAAGUUUUUUGUCUUUAUUAAGGAAAUUUGCCCCU
Molecule: non-coding RNA, 277 nt
Organism: Mesocricetus auratus (golden hamster)
Lineage: Eukaryota; Metazoa; Chordata; Mammalia; Rodentia; Cricetidae
Source: Rfam